UGUAAGUAUAACAAAACUCAUAUUGCAGGCAAAAACCUGUGAAAAAUAGAUUUUAAAAAAAUGUGAAUUUUGUGACUGUACUAUUUAGUGUCAUUGUUUUAUAGAUACCAUAGUGAGAAAGGAUUCAUUUCGCAACACCUACGGCUUCCACUAGAUGUCAACGAUCUUUAUAAAGUUGUUUGAAGCGUCUAUGAUAAACAGAGAGCAAAUUAGAAUCCAAGGAAGUUGACAUGUCAUCACUUCAUUUUUUUGCGCCUGCGCAUAAAUCUGAGAAGCAAACCACAUUUGUUCCGGACCUGGGAUGCCUUCCGGACCUGGGAUGCCUGCCUUCUGAUGGAGAUAAUCAAAGCAUCAUUGAUUCUGCCUGCGGAGCUUUCCAGUGGGGGUCUGCGAGGAAAACCGGUGGCGCAUUUGAUGAAGUGUGAGGGAAAUUCCCGUCUAACCAAAAGAGGACGGGGACCUGCCCAGAACAGACUCUUACUGUGAACUGCCCAGGAGGAGACACAUCAUCCAUGAACAAUUGAGGAACGGCAACUGAUUUCAAUUGGGUCUGCUGGAUGGUCUGAUUUCUCCCUAAGGAUUAGCCCUUUGACUCCCUGACCUGUUAUGGUGAAGGUGACCACAGAUGGUAUCUAAAUGCAUGGAAGAUAAGUUGGCCGAGAGCAGAACAGUGUUAACCUCAACACCCCCCUAAAAAAAUCCUGAAAAUGUUGUUCAGUAUGGUCCUUCACCACUUCUACCGUGAGACCUGAGUCCAAGCCAGCAACCUGUACACAGCAUCCAGAAGCUAUCGACUGCCUUUUCUCUCAUGUUUUUUUUCUCAGGAUUGUGACAUGGGUCCAUGUGGAGUGAGCAUGGCGAGAGAUCCAGUCCAAACCUCUCUCAUGCUGCCGGUGUACUGGUAGGAAAAUGGACAAGAUAUAAUGGACUGUAAAGGACAGUGGCGGCUCAGGUGAGAGACAUUAUCAAGGGCCAUCCACUUUGAACAUGUGCCAUUAAAAUGACAAACUGAAACACUAUCUGAAGAAGAACAUGAAGAAACGCCAGGAAAGGAAUGGUGUCGUGAAGUGUGGGUGGUCUACCGUGCCCGUAAUUGAUUUAGGCUUAUCCAAAAUGGUUUAUUUGGGGUAUCAGGUUGAUUGUGGAGGUCUGCACAGAGCAUCAUGUUUUUUGCUCCUCCAGAGGAUGGAGAAAGAGUUAGAUGCCCACUCUGGAUGAGCCCCCUUUCCCCCUGUAGAUACGGACGAUGAGUAAUGAUUGAAGGUUGUUUCUUUUAACAAGUUGAAGGUAAGGUCAUCUAAACCCUUAACCUUUUUACAUCAUGUGAACACUGAGCUGACCUUUUGGGGGUCUUAGCAGAAUUGUUAAACAACUGGGUUUUAUAUUUUGACUAAGUUGAUGUCCCAGGGACAGUUAGUGACAACAUAGGUCAAUGCAACGUAAUUGUGGUAAGAAAUAUGGAAACAAUGGUUAACAUUGAGAGAUGUAUUCACCUCUGAACCACACAGAUCCCUUGUGUAUGUGUGUAUUCUUUUGAUACUCAUUCCUGUUAAGAGAAGUAUAACCUUUAUUAUGAUUAUAAUAUUACCAUACUAAGUGGAUUGUACAACCCAGAAUGAAGGGUUUGAAAUGAUGAAGUGUCUCGG
RNAcentral lists this long non-coding RNA (1646 nucleotides) under Salmo salar (Atlantic salmon). RNAcentral's name for it is "lncRNA (ENSSSAG00000108299.1)". Lineage: Eukaryota; Metazoa; Chordata; Actinopteri; Salmoniformes; Salmonidae. The record is from RNAcentral.